RNAcentral lists this ribosomal RNA (997 nucleotides) under Trichuris rhinopiptheroxella. RNAcentral describes it as "large subunit ribosomal RNA". The record is from RNAcentral. Lineage: Eukaryota; Metazoa; Nematoda; Enoplea; Trichinellida; Trichuridae.
UUAAUAAUAAUAUGACUAUUUAAUUCCUUUUGCAUAAGGAUUAAUUAAAAAUAAGAAAUUUUUCUAUAAAAGAAAAGUAUCUAGUUAGAAAUAUAAUAUUUGUAUGUGAAAUAUACUUCUAAUACAUUUCUAAGUGAAAUACAAUUACGAUGCCUGAUAACUUUUUAUACUUAAUAUUAUGGACAACCAUAAUAGUAUUAUUAAUAAUAUUUAAGAACAGGAUUAGAAAUAACCCAACCAUUGAUUUGUAGUAAACCAUUUGUAAGUUGUCAACAUUUUAUUUGCGUUUUUCUUGAUAAAUGAUUAAUCUGGAAAAAAAAUAAUUAAGUAAGUAAGGGCAACUUUAAACCAUAAUUAAAAUUCGGCCAAUUUUAUACUAAUGUUUAAUAAAAACAUUGCAAUAUAUAAUGUAUUGUAAAUUUCCUGCCCAAUGAUAAUUUAAAUGGCCGCAGUAAUCUGACUGUGCAAAGGUAGCGUAAUCAUUUGUUUAAUAAUUUUAAACUAGAAUGAAAGGAAUAAAGUAUAAGAACUAUUAAUUUAUGGCUACGCAUAAAUCUUUACUUAAGUGCAAAAACUUAAAUUAAAUGUAUAAACGAGAAGACCCUAGGAACUCAAACCAUUUUUAUUGGGAAAAUACAAAACUAUAUUAUAUCUGAUAAACAUGAAACUAAUCAAAAAAAGUUACCCUAGGGAUAACAGCACAAUAAUUAUUAAGAGACCUAAUCCAAAUAGUUGAUUAUGACCUCGAUGUUGAAUCAUUUGUAGAAUAUAAUUUGCAGAAGAAUUCUGUUUUCGUCUGUUCGACGAUGGACAUUACGUGAUUUGAGUUUAAACCGUUGCGAAACAGGUUGGAUUCUCUUUUACAUUUAACAAAAUAAACUAAACUCAGUACGAAAGGACCAAUUUAAUUAAUCAAACAAUUAUGAUAAAAUUAUAUAUUUUUAUGCUAAUAAUUCUAUGAAUCCUGUUUGAUCUACUACGAGAACACUUACAACUU